UCUCGGCUUAUCACCGGCAGUCCCCCUAGAGUGCCCAACUGAAUGAUGGCAACUAGGGGCGAGGGUUGCGCUCGUUGCGGGACUUAACCCAACAUGUCACCACACGAGCUGACGACAGCCAUGCAGCACCUGUCACUCUGUCCGGUUGCCCGGAAAGCUGUAUCUCUACAGCGGUCAGAGGAUGUCAAACCCAGGUAAGGUUCUUCGCGUUGCUUCGAAUUAAACCACAUGAUCCACCGCUUGUGCGGGCCCCCGUCAAUUCCUUUGAGUUUUAGUCUUGCGACCGUACUUCCCAGGCGGGGCACUUAUCGCGUUAGCUCAGACUCGGCGGGGGUCAAGACCCACCAAAUCGAGUGCCCAUCGUUUACAGCGUGGACUAC
RNAcentral lists this unclassified non-coding RNA (380 nucleotides) under uncultured Oligoflexales bacterium. RNAcentral's name for it is "contains 16S-23S intergenic spacer region". Lineage: Bacteria; Pseudomonadati; Bdellovibrionota; Oligoflexia; Oligoflexales. The record is from RNAcentral.